This 301-nucleotide ribosomal RNA is filed under the name uncultured bacterium. RNAcentral describes it as "partial 16S ribosomal RNA". It matches the Rfam family "Bacterial small subunit ribosomal RNA", at positions 509 to 807 of the family's 1533-position model. The record is from RNAcentral.
CAGCCGCCGCGGGAAAACGAAGGGUGCAAGCGUUAAUCGGAAUUACUGGGCGUAAAGCGUGCGCAGGCGGUUAUAUAAGACAGAUGUGGAAUCCCCGGGCUCAACCUGGGAACUGCAUUUGUGACUGUAUAGCUAGAGUACGGCAGAGGGGGAUGGAAUUCCGCGUGUAGCAGUGAAAUGCGUAGAUAUGCGGAGGAACACCGAUGGCGAAGGCAAUCCCCUGGGCCUGUACUGACGCUCAUGCACGAAAGCGUGGGGAGCAAACAGGAUUAGAUACCCCCGUAGUCCCUGUCUCUUAUAC